RNAcentral lists this ribosomal RNA (1571 nucleotides) under human oral metagenome. Its description in RNAcentral is "bacterial LSU rRNA". It matches the Rfam family "Bacterial large subunit ribosomal RNA", at positions 291 to 2007 of the family's 2925-position model. The record is from RNAcentral.
ACCGGGGUUGAGGACAGUCAUCAAGUGUAAAUGAGGUAGAAGAAUCGAGUUGGAAAGCUCAGCCGAAGAAGGUGAAAGCCCUGUAAUCGAAACCUUGCAUACAUGGGACUGUAUCCAGAGUACCACGAGACACGUGAAACCUUGUGGGAAGCAGGGGGGACCACCCUCCAAGCCAAAAUACUGAUAUCGACCGAUAGCGCAUAGUACCGUGAGGGAAAGGUGAAAAGAACCCCUGGCGGGGAGUGAAAGAGAACCUGAAACCGUAUGUCUACAAACAGUCGAAGUCUGUAUAUAUAUCAGGACGACGGCGUGCCUAUUGAAGAAUGAACCGACGAGUUACUGUUGCUAGCGAGGUUAAGUGGAAAACAUGGAGCCGCAGCGAAAGCGAGUCUGAACAGGGCGUUCAGUUAGUAAUAGUAGACCCGAAACCGUAGUGAUCUAUCCAUGGCCAGGUUGAAGCACAGGUAAAAUUGUGUGGAGGACCGAACUCGUGUCAAACUACGAAUGGCUAUACUUAUACUCGGGAGUCAGACAGUGAAUGAUAAGGUCCAUUGUCAAGAGGGAAACAGCCCAGAACACCGACUAAGGUCCCAAAUGUUACACUAAGUGGCGAAGGAUGUGGAGUUUCCAAAACAACCAGGAUGUUGGCUUAGAAGCAGCCACCAUUUAAAGAGUGCGUAAUAGCUCACUGGUCGAGAGACUCUGCGCCGAAGAUGUCCGGGGCUAAAGUGUAAAACCGAAGUCGUGUCAUAUGCAGCAAUGUAUAUGGGUAGGGGAGCGUUCUCAUCGGGCUGAAGCAGUACCGUAAGGAGUUGUGGACUGAUGAGAAGUGAGAAUGUCGGUAUGAGUAGCGAAAAGAAUGGUGAGAAUCCAUUCCACCGAAAGCCUAAGGGUUCCUGAGCAACGAUCGUCGUCUCAGGGUAAGUCGGGACCUAAGCCGAGGCGGAAAAGCGUAGGCGAUGGACAACAGGUUGAAAUUCCUGUACCGGUGUGAAUCGUUUGAUCGAUGGAGUGACACAGUAAGGUAGGUCAGCACGCGAUUGGAAGUGCGUGUUUAAGCAGGUAGGUUGAGCUAUAGGCAAAUCCGUAGCUCUAAAAGCUGAGAUGUGAUGACGAGUUACUAGCGAUAGUAACGAAGUGAUUGAUCCUACACUGUCGAGAAAAGCUUCUAGGUAGAGACACAUCGCCCGUACCAAAACCGACACAGGUAGGCGGGGAGAGAAUCCUAAGGUGCGCGGGAAAACCCUCGUUAAGGAACUCGGCAAAAUGCCUCCGUAACUUCGGGAAAAGGAGGACUCAUGUAGUGUGAAGUGCAGCAACGCAUGGAGCAUGAAUGAGUGGCACAAGAGAGGCGCAAGCGACUGUUUACCACAAACACAGGUGCCUGCUAAAGCGAAAGCUGAUGUAUAGGUGCUGACACCUGCCCGGUGCUGGAAGGUUAAGAGGAGGGGUUAGACUUCGGUCGAAGCUCUGAAUUGAAGCCCCAGUAAACGGCGGCCGUAACUAUAACGGUCCUAAGGUAGCGAAAUUCCUUGUCGGGUAAGUUCCGACCCGCACGAAAGGUGUAACGA